Non-coding RNA from Gammaproteobacteria bacterium SG8_31, 184 nucleotides. The record is from Rfam. Lineage: Bacteria; Pseudomonadati; Pseudomonadota; Gammaproteobacteria.
CGUCUCCUGCAGUGUUCGACACGGGCCGGGAACCUCUCGUCCCUAUGUUUCAACAUCGGGGCCACGUUCUGUCGGCGUCACUGAGCAUUACCGUUUCUAGCGGGUAGCCUUCGAUGCCACGGCCGGCCCCACCUAUUGCUCUGGCUCGAGAGCAAAGGCCUGUGACGGCACAGGCGGGAGACGC